Molecule: ribosomal RNA, 720 nt
Filed under: Triticum aestivum (bread wheat)
Lineage: Eukaryota; Viridiplantae; Streptophyta; Magnoliopsida; Poales; Poaceae
Description: partial small subunit ribosomal RNA
Source: RNAcentral
AUGACAAACUGGUUUCGCCAAGUUGCCCUCCUUGCUGGUCGCCAAGUUGACCAGAAGCUGCACAUGAAGAAACAACGAGCACUAAUCAUGAUCAAUGGAGUUCCUGGAGAUCGUAUAAACUAUGUGCGAGGACUGCGACAAGGAGACCCCAUCUCCCUGAUGCUCGUCGUCAUUGCCAUGGAGGCCCUCACAGCGCUUAUAUCCAAAGCUGAAAGAUCUGAUGUCCUGAGCGCUUUGCCAGGUCUGCGGAUCAACUGUACAAAAUCUUCGGCCAUUGUGGCCAGAGGGGAUCACCGUGACCAUGAUGAGGAGAGGAUCGCUCCUAUCCUACAGCGUUCCAUUGGCGCUUUUCCCUGCAAGUAUUUGGGGCUUCAGUUAGCUAUUUUAUCUCUCACUGAAGCUGAAUGGCAGCCUACCCUGGAUUCCAUUAGGGCCUGUGCCCCAGCAUGGCAACGAGGCCUCAUAAACAGAGCCGGCAGACUGGUCCUUGUGGAUUCAGUCCCAUCUGCUCGACCAACUCAUCGUUUGCUGAUUUCUGAAGCUCCGAAGUCGGCAAUUCUUCAACUUGAAAGGUGGCUGUGUGCAAUCCAUCGUAUAAAUUUCGGAUGUCCAAGCCUCCAAAGCUUUUUAGGUUUGCAAUCGUUCUUCCAGGAAAUCGCGUUUGCUUCUCAUAUUUGUGUUUCUUUUGAACAACACUCAUUUCAACGUAUUUCGUCUUGA